Molecule: ribosomal RNA, 390 nt
Filed under: uncultured bacterium
Lineage: Bacteria
Description: bacterial SSU rRNA
Rfam family: Bacterial small subunit ribosomal RNA
Source: RNAcentral
AACGAACGCUGGCGGCGCGCUUAACACAUGCAAGUCGAACGAGAAGCUGUAGCAAUACAGUUGUAAAGUGGCAAACGGGUGAGUAAUGCGUGGGUAAUCUACCCUCGGGUGGGGAAUAACUCUUCGAAAGGAGAGCUAAUGCCGACAUGUGCAGCACUUUCGCAAGUAGGUGCUGGAAAGCCGUACCGUGGGUGCGGCGCCCAAGGAUGAGCUCACGUCCUAUCAGCUUGUUGGCGGGGUAACGGCCCACCAAGGCUCCGACGGGUAGCUGGUCUGAGAGGACGACCAGCCACACUGGCACUGCGACACGGGCCAGACUCCUACGGGAGGCAGCAGUGAGGAAUAUUGCGCAAUGGGCGAAAGCCUGACGCAGCGACGCCGCGUGGGGGA